Long non-coding RNA from Harpia harpyja (harpy eagle), 7986 nucleotides. RefSeq lists it as uncharacterized. The record is from RefSeq and is a predicted model, not a curated record. NCBI's taxonomy places the organism in Eukaryota, Metazoa, Chordata, Aves, Accipitriformes, Accipitridae. The transcript has 5 exons.
GGGGGGAGGGGACACCGCCCGCCCCGCCGCUCCCCCCGCCCGCCCCGGCGCCCCCAGAGGCGGGCGGUCGCCGCCUGCUCGCCCGCCGCCCCUCGCCCUGCCGAGGCGGCCCUCCCCUCCCCGCGGCGGAGGCCACGGCCGCCGGCAGGCGGGCGGGCCGGGGCGGUACCUGCGCUGGAAGUCCGUCUCGAAGGGGGCCAGUGCGUCUGCUGCCGGGUGAGCUCUUCGUUCCCACACACAAAAAAACCCACCACCACCACCACCACCCCCCCAACCAGAUUUGGUGUCAUCGUGAGCGCUGGAAUAAAUUUCUCGACCGUUUGAUAGGGUGCUGGCGUACUCACACACAAGGUCAGCAAAACAAGGCUCCGGGGGCAUCCAUGAGUUCUCAUAAACACCGUGUCUGUACAGCAAAAUGUCGCUUAACCGGACACAUAAAGAAUCCUAAACAAAUGUGUCUCUAGGUCCUGAGGUUGGCAGUUUAAGUCUUCCCGAUGCAGACGAGAGAGCGGGCUUGCUUUACGACAAGUCAUCAGCCCCUGAGGUCUUCACAAGAAGAACAAUGAUGUUUGUGUUGGGGGGUUCUCAUUCCUCAGUCUUAGCUCUCUUUCCUCAAAGAAUCUGAAAUAUGAAUAAUUGUGGUAGGAUAAAUGACAAUACAUGGACCACUAGGAAUACCGAGUCUCUGGAACCCAUCUGCCAUUUACUUUGUGUCAUCACUGACUCAUAACACAGUGUUUUAGGCAAGAUUAUUGUUAUAGAUAUAUAUUUUUGCCUUAACAUCAACCUUGUAUAAAUUUAACAUUUUUUUUAUCAGUGAUACAGUUCGCUGUCUCUGGUCAGUCAGGUCGGUAGUAGUCAAAUACCAGCCAUAUUAGUACACUAUAAAGAAGGAAUCCUUUCAAAAGUCUUUCAUGUCUUACCCCCAUUAAAACUCAGUCUCACGGACCACACUAAGUCCUCUCCUGACAUUUUUCUAUUGGUCAUUAUCUGGCUCUUCUACCAUUUGCAGUUCAGGCAUUAAUUUAUGCAAAUGAAGAGAUUUCUUCAUUCAUAAGAUCAUUGUCCAAAUUGUUAGAAUUGUUUGUUCUAUUUCCUCCUUCUGCUGUUUCAGCUGCACACAGUUAAAAUACUGAAUUGCUCUUACAGUUCAUGAAUUAUCUGUGGCUUUUCGACCUAUGCACUCCUUCAGCUGUCUCUUCAGUAACUCCUGUGUUGUCAUCUGUUUCAACACAUGGACAAGAAAAACUCACAAAGGUUUCUAUCCUGGGAGCUGAGUCAUUCUCUAAAUCAGGACCAUCAUCCUAUGAACACAAAAUCUUCCUCUGCAGAACUUAAGGGCAAUCAUGUGGCAUUGAUAUCCUUAAGGAAUUUAAAGUUACAUGGAAGAAAAUUGAGCCCCAUGCUGAUGGAGGAGAUAGGCUUUAUGGUUCCUCCGUUAUCUCAUUGCAUGUUGGUAAAGCGGCAGAAAUGGAAUACGAGAUACAAGUGUCAUCAGAAUAUUUCCCUGGUUUUGUAAGGAGUUGCACAAGGAGCCAUUCCUUUUCUGUAAAAUGAAGCAUGGGUAUUCAUAACUGUAAAAAACCAACAGCACUGCCAACAACAGAAGAAUAACUGCCAUAUGUUGUUUCUUGUUUUUCUAAUUUCCUUUCUAUAGAAUGAAGUAUAGAUAUUUGUAUUAAAAAAAAAAAGCCAACAAUAAGAAAAACUGUCACCUGUUGUCUACUGUUUUUCUUAAAUCUAGAAAUGUUUUGCAAGUUUAACUUAAACGAUUAGUCAGGUUUUCAGCUUUAGAAUAAACUGAAGUAUUUCAGCUUUUAGCAUCUGUCCUGCUUGCUCACAUGAUGUUGGGGACCAAUUUUUCAUAAACAUCAAGACCUCUUUCAACACUGACACAAUCGUGGGGAACUGAGGUGGGUUCCGUUGUAUUUCUGUAGUAAAUUACAUUCAUUUUAUAACCUAUUCAAUACUCAGAAACAUGAAAACAAGCCUUUUUAUUAAUUUGAAUCUGGUACAUUUUGCCUUUCAGGUUAAUGUAUUUUAUGUACUGCUUUGAGUGCAAGUUUGCAUAUUAACUGAAAGAGGUUUGAUUAGUUUUAUUCUCUUCUUUUCAAAAAUUCUUUUGCAUUGUGUAUUAGCUCUAUUAGUAAAAAGUAAAAAAUCUUCUCUGACAACUUUCCAUUAUGUUAGAGAAAUUCAACAAAGCCUUUAAUUUCUUUUGUCUUGCAUUGUAAUCCUGGUUAGUUAAGAAAAAAAAAGUCUUCCCAGAAUAUGGUAUUUGCAUGUAACUAUAAUACUGUCAUUCAUAGUUAGAGAUAAUAUGCAGAGGUUAUAGCUGUGUGAGCUAUUUAAAAAUCAAAAGCAGCACAGUCAGGAUGUCUGGAGGAGCAGUAUGUAAAAGUUAUCCCUUAAGAACAUAUCCUUCUAAAGGGUAACCAAAUAUAAUUAUUUCAUGUGGUGCUGUAUAAUUGAGAUGCCUUGGAAUUCCCCCUCUUGUAACACUUUUGGUCUAGCUGUUACGCUUGACAGGGUAAGGUUAAAUCUCCUUCUCCUAUCACGGGUUAGGAAAUACUUUUAGUGCUAAGAAUAGCUCAUUAAAGGUGGAUGGAAUGUCUCUUUUUCCAAUGUACAUAUUAAUUACCAUAACACUCAGUGAAUUUAUCUUUGCUGACAGAAUGACAUUGCUGUAUCAAUGAAAACUGAGUUUCUUGUUGAUUAAAACUGUCACUUGCCUGGAAUAACUAGGUCCAAUGAAGUAAAAACAAGGGAAGCGGGGCAAGAUUUUGUAAAAAUAUAUGGUUCUGUUCUAAGCAAAACAGCACCUAUUUCUUUUUAGAGAGAAUUUGAAUUGAACAUAGAAUUUUUGAGUCAGUAAUCUCACAUUAUUUGAUCCACUGUUGUUCUGGACCUCAUAUGACCCACUGCUGAAUUACUGGCUUUGCAGCAAUGUCACUGAUAGCAGAAGACUCCUUAGUAAGAAAACUUACUAGUGUGCUUGAACCUUAGAACUUGAGGUGAGCAGUGCCAGGGACACCUGUGGCCUGAAGGCAGAGGCAAAACACUCCUUUUCUCCUACAAUACACAUGGAAAACUCUUGGUAAAGAAGAAGGGCUAGAGAAUAUGUACAUCACCAGAUCUGUAUGUACAUCACCAGAUCUAUGUCUCUUUGUUUCCACAGGAGCACCCUUACCCUUUCCCAUGUUCUCUGCCCCAGCGCUGAGAGUAUCACUGUGUAACCACAGUUUAAGAUGUAUGCUACAAUGCCUUCUUCCAUUCAAUCUAAAAUAAUUUUUUUUGACCCGCCUCCCAGAGCGCAGUGCACUGUGAGUAAAAUAUAUCCCUAAGAAAUUAGUAAUAUAUGCACCCUUACUUGACUUUCCUUUCAGCUGCUGAAAUAAGAUACUCAUUUUCUCUAAAGUGUCUGUAGAUGGAUGUCUAGAGUUUAUGAACUGCCAAAUGUGUGACUUCAGGAUAACUGCCAAAGUUGCAAGGCAAACAAGAAGCUACCGAGCACUGGAUAGUCACAGUGCUUGUCUAAGAUCCAGUUAAGGAUCCACUGUUCCUAGUAAGAAGUGCAAUCCUUCUAUAGAGUUUUUCCAAUAGAACAGGGAUCUCUAGGUCAUUAUUGUCACAAAGCAACAAAGUACAGAAGAAAGAUUUCAGUGUACCUUCUAAGCACACGGUACUAGAGCAAAAAAUGCUAAAUAAACAAUCUCGGCAUAAUUCGGGAGAGGAAGAUUAGCUAAGAAGUCUGUUAUUCAAAGAAAAUGGCCACCACUGCUGCUGCAGAGAUGAAGAAUAGUUAAAAAAAGUAGUAAUGCAUAAUUUACAAUGCUUUAUUUUCAUGCUUUUAAUAAGAAUUCAUACUAUCUUAUUAGAACAUGGCCAAUUUUUCAACAAAAACCUAAUAAAAAAUAUGACAAUUAUUCAAAUACUUAACUGUGACUGACUCUGGUAUUGAAGGGAAAUACAAAGCAUUAAUUCUUUUAGAAACUUUUUCUCCAGUUGUUUAAAAUCUUUUCUAUGAAUUCGAAAUCUUGUCUGCAUUAUUUUUGGUCUGAAGGAAUUCCACAGAUAACCUGGGACUAGCAUUCAUAUCUGGAAAUUUGAGUUCCUUUGGCUUGUUUUGACUAAACUUGCAUGAUAUUCCUGUUUGCUGUGGAUACUUAGCACAUUGCUGGUGCUAGACGUUUUGUCAUGGCUAGUUCAAAUGCUGGUUUGAGUGAUUUUUCUCAGACAGUCAUUUAAAAUGCGAUCACCAAAACCCAAAAGAAACAGUAAAUUACUGAGCAUGUUCUUUUACCAAUUUGACCAAAUAUUCCCAGAAGUAUUUUUCAGCAUUCACUGACUGGCAGAUAGCAGUGCCUUUAUAUCCAGUAGUGCUGUCUCCUAUGGGACAAGAGCAGUUGCUGGACCUUGUCUCUACCUAAUCUCUUCAGUGCACAGUCUUUCUGAGUGACAGGGCUCUGCCCACAGACUACUGUAGCAGAACUCCCCUGAGAUGCUGUCCUUUAAACCUGAUGAGCCUACAGCGUCCCGUAUUCUUUAUUUCUGCAUUUAAGUCUCCUUCUCAGAACUGAGUCCCUUAAAUGGCUGGAUUUCAGUACAUUUGAUUCUUUCUAGUUUGAAUGUCCUACAGCUACCACUUUUUGUUCAAGCCCCAAAGAGGCAUCUCUUUGUUUCUAACCUUAUUAACACGGUAAGCCAAACGACGAUUUGCCUCUGCAUGACACUUCUCUCUGGGUAGUAGACCAGUGUGCAGUGACUCACAAUCUCUCCUAGAACUGUUUUACAGAAAACAGCAAAAUGUUUCUCCACCUGUAUCUUGCUGUAAAGCUUAUCCACUCCGAUACAUGAAGUAAGUCGACUCACCGCUGGUAUGCCAAGCAGUAUUGCCAGUGUCACGGGUCCCCCGCUCAGCACCCGUCGCGGUGUUUUUCACUGCUGCUCUGGAGAUGCUAGCCACCUACCUCCUUCCUGGGCUGGGUUUGCCCUGAGUUUUGAUUGUAAAACUUAAAAAUGGGAAAGCAGGGCUGUAACCUGGAGGUAGGCAAAGUGGGUCAUCCCUCAGUUAACAAGUCCACCAUUUCUCUUUUCAUAACUCCUGAUCCGUUAUUGGAAAUAUCACUAAUCACAGUCUGGUUCCCUGCUUCCUUGAUUCUUUGAUUAAUUUCAAGCAAAUUCAUCAUGAAAAUAUCAAGCAGUUAAACUGAGAUACAUGUAAUAUUAAUGAAGCAGAUAUCCCCCCACGUUCUAAUAGAGGCACUUAUCCUGCUGGUUGGCUUUCACUCAGGAUAAGGAAGGAUCAAAUUAUGACCCUUCACUACAGUUGUAGAAAAACCUAAGGCUGUUUAUUUUAACUGCUGCGUUAACUCAGCAUGAUUGUUUUUAAUGGGAUGAUUCUUGGUAGCAUUACAGGUGGCAAAAAGGAAUUUUUCUGGAGGACCUGAUCCUUUAGCCACCCUAGGCAACCAGCUUAUAUUCCUCCCUUCUCUGAGAAACAUCUGUGGGAGAAGUGGUGGCAGUCUGAGGCCUCAGAAGAGUUCGCCAGGCACAGCUCACAGAUAAGCCAGUUUACUGUAGUUCAUUUCUUCAUCUACUUCAUGCUACUCUACAGUAUUAUAUUCAUCCUUCUCACCCUCAGGACUUUUCCUUUUUUUUUUUAACCUGCCAUACCUAAAAGGCAAUUUACAGACCUUACUUAAUCCUGAAGAGCAAGGAUGUUAAUUGGGUUGAAAAUGGUAAUGAUGCAUCUAGUUCUGUCUUACCUGCAGUGCUCUUCCUGCUCUCAGGACACCUGAGUGCCCCUGCAUCCCAGAACAGAGGCUUUGAACACAUAUUUUUCUGUGUUGCACCCAGCUCCUCCCUUGACCCGUUAUCAGUGGCACAUUACACAGUGAAUCAAAUCUGAAUCCCACAAUAUUUCUCCUCAUUCUGUUUCUGAGUAAGAGCAGGUAUAUGCUCGAGACUUUUUUGAUAUUUAUUGCCUCAGUUAAAGCAUAAUUAGCUCCAUGAACUAAUGAAAUGGGGAUUAACCACCUCCACUUUAGCUGAGACCUCUAUCACCUUUACGUUUCAGGCUUCUAUUUGGUUCUUCAGCUAUUUCAUUUAUCGGUCAAGGAGGGGUUUAAGUCUGCAGUAUAAUAAUAUUUGAAAUUACUAGUAAAUAGCAUUUUACAACAUUAACUAGUCUGUCCUUACCACAUCCUUUUCAGGCAGGCAAAUAAAUGUUAUUAUCCUUAUUUUACAAACACAUUGAUUAAGUGACUUGCCUAAAUGCCACACAUCAAUUUCAAUGUCAAUGCCAACAUUAGCAUAGAGAAACUUCUGCAUUGCAGUCACAGAAAAAAGUGAUCUGUGUUAUCAAGUCCACCUCCCCUCAGAAACAAGCAAUCACUUCUCAGAUAUGUAGUCUAGAUAGCGGUUACACACUUCACAUCCCCUGUAUGCCCCUAUGCUUUGUCCAUCUGUUAAGCUUCUCCUUGAUGAUGGCUCCAAAUGGUUCCCAGUAUGUCUCUAACACGGGAAGCUUUUGUAUGUGCCUCCCGGUUUCAACCCAAGGGCUGGAAAGCAUUGCCUGGAGAACCUGUGAAACUCCCACAUUGAUGGCUGAGCUUGUGGAGUCAGAGGGUGAGGGAACGAAGAGGGCCUCGUGCUGCUCUCUAAAGGGCAACCUGAAGAUGAGCAAUGAUCUGAGGGAACAGCAGGGGCAGGAUUAGGAAGAAAUUAGUAAGGUCUUCCACCAUUUUAAGAGGAAUUUUUUUUGCCUCUCUAACCAACAAAAUUUUCAAUUUUUACGUUGUGGAAAACAGGUACAAUUCUCUUUCCUACUGCUGCUAUAGCUACUGUGUGGAAAUGGUGGUAGCUGCAUUGAUAACUUUGGAAGUGGAGUCUUCAGCUCUAAAAUGCAGUAGCAUCUGUAGUCCUCAAUCUGUUGAGCUAUUGGGUAAAUUGCUUCAUUUUGAAGCUCCUGCUUUUAAAUUUGGAAGGAAUUUUGGAUUUGAUCUCCAUUGUCUGGCUUAGACAGACAGACUGUGUCUGUGUUCAUCUCCUGACUGAUGAGCAACACAAACCUUACUGCAUGCAUGUGCUAUGUAUGACAAAUGAAAGUAUAACAAGUAACAUCAUAGCAUGCAAAAAUCUGUUAAACAAUGCCGAGUUUCUAAUGUUAAAAACCUGCUCUGUUUACAGACUGUUAUUUCUAAGGAAAAAUAUGUUGGUGACUAUAUUUGUUUCCCCUCCAGAGCAAGUCUUCCCUACCUGGAAAAACAAACAAAAUAGAGAAUCUUAGGACAGAACUUUUAACAGCUAAUUAAGGCCUCCGCGUGUAAGGGUGGCAUUGUUUUGUUCUGAGUUAGGUACAGUUCACAAGACCUUUCUGACUCAACUUCUUAAUGUGACAGAAAAUCAAAAUAUUCAUAACUCAUUUGAACCACAGUAGUAUAUGUUCAUCAGCAGAUUCACGAAUCUGUCAUUAAAGCCCAUGGUGUCAUUUGCCAACACCUGAAUUUGACCUAGUCAUUGAAGCUGAUACUGUGCCAAUGUCUGAAAGGAGAUACACUGAAAAAUUGUCCAGUGUUUAUGAUAGAUACUGGUAUUUCAGACCAGACUCCCAGGCGAUGAAUUAUAUUCUUAAUAAGCAUACAUGACAAAGUUAAAUUUAGAAGUAGAAUUUUAAAUAGUUGCCAAGUUUUUAACUGAAGGUCAUUUGUAUUUUUUUUUUAACCCAUGCAGACACUCACAGGAAAUGUGUGAACUUGCCUUCAAAAUACCUCAAAUAUUAGCCAUAUGAAUUACACAUUUACCUUUUUUCCUAGCUUUUAAAAGAUUAUUUCCUGCAUAAAACUUAACAUCAAUCAGUUUGUUGCUUGUGAGUCACCUGUAGAUUGCGGUAUCAGAAUUAUUCAAUAGAAUUAUGCCUGUCAGAAUUUUAUAUUCACUCCAUUAUUCAUUAACAACAAAAAAUAAAGCAUCUUUCUAAACAAA